Molecule: transfer RNA, 72 nt
Filed under: Camelus bactrianus (Bactrian camel)
Lineage: Eukaryota; Metazoa; Chordata; Mammalia; Artiodactyla; Camelidae
Also listed under: 2 other names
Rfam family: tRNA
About the family: Transfer RNA (tRNA) molecules are approximately 80 nucleotides in length. Their secondary structure includes four short double-helical elements and three loops (D, anti-codon, and T loops). Further hydrogen bonds mediate the characteristic L-shaped molecular structure. tRNAs have two regions of fundamental functional importance: the anti-codon, which is responsible for specific mRNA codon recognition, and the 3' end, to which the tRNAs corresponding amino acid is attached (by aminoacyl-tRNA synthetases). tRNAs cope with the degeneracy of the genetic code in two manners: having more than one tRNA (with a specific anti-codon) for a particular amino acid; and 'wobble' base-pairing, i.e. permitting non-standard base-pairing at the 3rd anti-codon position.
Source: Rfam by way of RNAcentral
GCGGGUAUAGCUCAGUGGCAGAGCGCAUGCUUAGCAUGCAUAAGGUCCCGGGUUCAAUCCUCAGUACCUCCA